This 85-nucleotide ribosomal RNA is filed under the name Tetraberlinia bifoliolata. RNAcentral's name for it is "partial 28S ribosomal RNA". It matches the Rfam family "Eukaryotic large subunit ribosomal RNA", at positions 1 to 82 of the family's 3401-position model. The record is from RNAcentral. Lineage: Eukaryota; Viridiplantae; Streptophyta; Magnoliopsida; Fabales; Fabaceae.
GCGAGACCUCAGGUCAGGCGGGGCUACCCGCUGAGUUUAAGCAUAUCAAUAAGCGGAGGAAAAGAAACUAACAAGGAUUCCCUUA